Molecule: RNA transcript, 1364 nt
Organism: Helianthus annuus (common sunflower)
Lineage: Eukaryota; Viridiplantae; Streptophyta; Magnoliopsida; Asterales; Asteraceae
Exons: 6
Source: RefSeq, a predicted model, not a curated record
UCGAAGUUUUGGUGCUUCACCGUAAGGGUGAGAGGGGCACUCCUCUUUUAGGGAGUCCCCUCUCUUACUCACACCCAAUCAUCACGCGCCAUGUCAACUCCCCUCUUAAGUCCCUAUUUUACACUCAAACGUUAGCAUCACUCCACUCACACAAUUAUUUUUUUAUAAAAAAAGAAGAAAAAAAUAUGAUUGGUGAAAAAAAGGUGGACCCACAUUAACAACCAAUCACCCCCUCUCUCUCCUCUCUCUCUCAAUCGGUGAACACCCACCGAUUCCAUUCCCCGAUUAGCCUCCCCGCGUUGAUGGCGGCGGUGUUCCCGCUCGGGGACUAGGCUCACCGCAGGCCUCCCCGCUAAGUGCCCCGGACACCCUAAGCCACUGCUCUGGUGGCUACCUUCCCUCAGAUGAUUAACAUGGUCAGGGAUGGAGACGCAAGUAGAGGAGACCGGGGGCUGACACCGCCACAUCAGGCGGAGAUGGGGUUGGUUUUCUUUUUAUCUAUUUUGAAGAUUGAUGCUUCAAAACCGGUUUUCAGCACAGAUCUUUAUGCCGUUGAGGAGUUGUCCGAAAAGAUAGAAAGAUGCGAGGCUUCUGCAUAUCAGAAGCUAUUGAUACGGAGGGUAGGGGAUAAUCUUGGUGCAUUUGGGGUUUCAAAGGUUCAUUUUGCAAUAACUAAACCAUUUGGUCGUAGGUGGAUUCAGAAACAUGAAGCAUUUGAUGAAGAUUUCACCAGAUUUUGCUAUCUUCAGUGGCUAUUGAUGGUUAGGUUAGCCAUUCCGACAACCAGGCAAACUACAAAGGCAAGAAUUUAAAGGAAAAACUGGUCUCAACGGAAGUACUUAUUAGACAUGAAAAGAUCUGGAGCCUGAAGCAGUAGAUGCCCAUUCAUAAUUUUAAAGACCAUGCUAAGAUGUAUAUAGAAGCUUAUUAUCAUGAAAACUUGGUACAAAAAUUGGUUAAUGGGGGGAGAGCUGUCAGCCGGACAUGCAAAAAUUUCGCUAGGAAUGUGUAAGAUAACACUGCUUGUACGUUUUGCCAAGAGCUUGCCCAAAUGUGUAAAAUCGUCACCAGAAAAGGAAGAUCAAUAGUAUAUGGCGCACGACAAGAAAGUGUUAACAAUGACACUAAAGAAAGGGAGUAGAAAGCUUUUUUUUUUGUCCCGGCUAUUCACUACAUCAUCAAAGCAAAGAGAAAGAAGGCUUUAUGGCCAUGAAAGGGUGUUAACUGCCUUUAAAGGCCUUUUUGGUCAUUUCGUGUUGAGUUCAUAAUAUACAAUUGAUUAUGUUUUGUAAUCUUAUUUGAUGUUCAUUGGCUUUGUAGAAAUUCAAGCCCAUAUGUAUGGUUCGAAUAAAAUGUUUUCAUCA